CGUGGAUCGAUUUGUCUGGUUUAUUCCGAUAACGAGCGAGACUCUAGCCUACUAAAUAGUGGCGGGAUUAUUAGUGUCCCAGUCGCUUCUUAGAGGGAUUUUCGGUGUUUAGCCGCACGAGAUUGAGCAAUAACAGGUCUGCGAUGCCCUUAGAUGUCCGGGGCUGCACGCGCGCUACACUGGCAAAAUCAACGUGCUUGUCCUUCCCCGAAAGGGGCGGGUAAACCAUUGAAAAUUUGCCGUGAUUGGGAUCGGAAAUUGCAAUUAUUUUCCGUGAACGAGGAAUUCCAAGUAAGUGCGAGUCAUCAGCUCGCGUUGAAUACGUCCCUGCCCUUUGUAC
Molecule: ribosomal RNA, 340 nt
Filed under: Nematoda environmental sample
Lineage: Eukaryota; Metazoa; Nematoda
Description: SSU rRNA
Rfam family: Eukaryotic small subunit ribosomal RNA
Source: RNAcentral